Molecule: long non-coding RNA, 814 nt
Organism: Ostrea edulis (European flat oyster)
Lineage: Eukaryota; Metazoa; Mollusca; Bivalvia; Ostreida; Ostreidae
Exons: 2
Source: RefSeq, a predicted model, not a curated record
AUCAAAUUGCCAAUUCUAAUGAAUAUGAUAUAAGAAAUAUCGACAUGUUUUUCUCACAAUUCAUUUGCAACUAUUAAAGAGACAAUGAAUUAAACCUCAACAUAACAAAUUAAACUUCGUGUCCCUAAAAAUCAGAAUUUCCCUGCAAUAGUUUGUCAUGUUAUUAAAUUUGAAACCAUCGACAUUUCUGUGUUUAUUUCACUGAAUUGAACAAUUUGGACAAAGGAUGGUAUUUAUAUCAAAUAUAGAUGGAUUUAUUUUUGGGAAUUCACUUUUGUCACACGGUACAUAAGAGAUAUCGGUCAGAAGAAUGAGUUCAAUAGAAACACCCGCAUAUAGACAUGCCGACUGCUGUGAACCCCUAUCCACUAUAAAUGUACUUAGCAAUAUGUCAAUUUUAGAAUCAGCGUGAUUUACCAAAAAAGAAAUACACCAAAAACAUGUAUCCCACAUUGAACUCUUACUACACUGUACUAUAAGUUACUUAUCCGGCCAUUGUUUGGAUUAUUUCCGUUUUCCACUCAAACACUCCCUAUGGAGACUAUGGCGGCUGUGAUUUUGAUACUCUUUGCUGUAUUGUUUUUCGCUCUUCUCACGUGUGUCUUUUGUGUUAUACGAUCAAGGUUUAAGAAUCGAGAAAGCUUUACUGAAGGCCGAGAACAAUAUUCUUUUUCAAAAGUUACGGAGCUGCCAAAUGAAGACGACCGUCAAUCUCAAAUCUGAUUGGUCAUCCGAAGAUUAACACACCAAGCAUCCAUGGAUCCUGGAGUUAUGAUUCACUGAGCAAGGGAGAAAGUACAUUGCACGUGUUAUA